GAAAAGAGGGAAAUGCUUCUUGAACAUUCUGCCACAAUCUCUACCUUUAAAAGGCAACCCCAAUGCCUUCUUUAACAUGUUUACAUGCACUGAGAAUUCCUAGCCCCUUUUAGCCAUAAACAAAAUCACCCAAAAGUCUUCUUUUCUUUUCAUUUUAGAUCUGAUUUUUGAAAUUCAAAUCUGAAAAAAAGAAACAAAAACAAUAGAAAAUCUCCAAAAAAUCCAAAAACAAUAGAAAAAACCAAAAAUAUUGUUCCAUCUAAAUUCUAGUUUUUUUAGCUGCUGAAGUUUCAUCUGGGUUGGAUUUCAAGUUUUAAUUUGGUUUCAAGCAAGAUUAUCUGGUUUUCAUGGACUUCAUUAAGUUCUGAUUGUUUCCUGGGAUGUUCUAGAGCUAUUCUGGGUUGAUUUCAGAUUUACUCUCACUGGUUGAUUUGUGGUUGUUGUUGUUAUUGUUGUUGACUCCUCUGCUGCUUCUUAUUUGAACAAAACUCCAGGUACACAUCCAAAUUCAACUCGAUGUAGCAUUGAAGUUUGAAAAAAUGAAAUCAAAUGUUCAUCCAUCUCCUGAUACAUGUUUGUCCAACUGUAAUUAAUGCUUUGUAUUAGGUUCAGUUCAAUUUUCAUAUAUUUCUCAGACUGUUAAUUAGACUGACUUGUUUGUACUAAACUGAACAUUGAAUUUGAAUUAGUUAGUUGCUAAAAUAUGAUUCAUGUAAUUGCACAAAAUAUAACUGAACUCUUGCAAUAGUUGUAGUUGAUUUGGAGUAGUUGUUUGUUUAGGGUUUGGAUAGUUGUAG
RNAcentral lists this long non-coding RNA (797 nucleotides) under Nicotiana benthamiana. RNAcentral describes it as "long non-coding RNA (NBEN_LNC029903)". The record is from RNAcentral. Lineage: Eukaryota; Viridiplantae; Streptophyta; Magnoliopsida; Solanales; Solanaceae.